Molecule: non-coding RNA, 2233 nt
Organism: Elaeis guineensis (African oil palm)
Lineage: Eukaryota; Viridiplantae; Streptophyta; Magnoliopsida; Arecales; Arecaceae
Source: RefSeq, a predicted model, not a curated record
UGUUCGCGGGUCUCUUCCUUGACAUCCAUGGAAUAAAAGUCUUCACCCAUGCCGCGCCUUCCCCUCGUCAGCUACAACAAAGCCACCGGUUACUCCUCUCCUCUCCCAAGCUAACCCAUGUGUCUCCUCCGUUCUCAAUCCUAACACUAAUCCUAACCCUAACGAUCGCCAUGGACGCUGCUCGGCUCCUCACCCCCAGCUUCUCUUCACCCAUUCGAUCCCCUUCUUGUCGACCUCUAUCCUUUCUCUCCGGCGCCUUCCGAAGUCCCAGCCUGUUCUCUCCAUUUCGAACCGGACAUCGCCGGAACCUGUGUUUGACCUGCGCGGCGGAGACCCUGGUCACCGGAUCGCGGAGGGAGGAAGGGAGCUCACAUGUGCUCCGAGGCGAGAAAAGAGCGGAGACCGGAGAUCUUAAGUCUUGGUUGCACGCGCACGGCUUGCCGCCGUGCAAGGUUGUUCUCAAGGAGAGGGCUUCUCACGGCGGAAGGCAGCGGCCGAUACGUUAUAUCGCGGCAAGCAAAGAUCUUGAGGCUGGAGAUGUGUUAUUCUCAAUUCCGAACUCUUUGGUGGUAACUCUGGAUAGAGUUCUUGGAAACGAGACGAUUGCGGAACUCUUAACAACAAACAAGCUAUCAGAAUUAGCCUGCUUGGCACUAUAUCUCAUGUAUGAGAAAAAACAGGGCAAAAAGUCUUUCUGGUAUCCCUUCAUUAGGGAGCUUGAUCGUCAACGAGGAAGAGGCCAGCUAGCUGUGGAAUCACCACUUCUAUGGUCUGAAACUGAACUGGCUUACCUGGAUGGCAGUCCUACAAGGGCUGAACUUCUUGAAAGGGAUGAAGGAAUAAAAAGAGAGUACAAUGAGCUUGAUACAGUCUGGUUCAUGGCUGGCUCAUUGUUCCAGCAAUACCCUUUUGACAUUCCCACUGAAGCUUUUCCGUUUGAGAUUUUCAAGCAGGCAUUCGUUGCAAUUCAAUCUUGUGUCGUUCAUUUGCAGAAAGUCAAUUUGGCUCGAAGGUUUGCCUUAGUUCCUUUGGGGCCACCAUUGUUGGCUUACAAGAGCAACUGCAAAGCAAUGCUAACUGCUGUCAGCGAUGCUGUUGAGUUGGUGGUUGAUCGUCCAUUUAAGGCUGGGGAACCAAUUGUUGUAUGGUGUGGACCACAACCAAAUUCAAGGUUGCUUCUCAAUUAUGGUUUGGUCGAUGAAGAUAAUCCAUAUGACCGCAUAGCAGUUGAGGCAUCCCUGAAUAUGGAAGAUCCUCAAUACCAAGAAAAGAGAAUGGUUGCUCAAAGAAAUGGAAAGCUGGCUGUCCAAGUUUUUCAUGUGUUUGUGGGAAGAGAAAAAGAAGCUAUAUCAGAAAUGCUGCCUUAUAUGAGAUUAGGGUAUGUUUCAGAUCCAACAGAGAUGCAAUCAGUUAUUUCUUCUCAGGGUCCUAUCUGUCCUGUGAGCCCGUGCAUGGAGCGAGCAGUAUUGGACCAACUUGUAGGUUAUUUUGAGGCUAGGUUGGCGGGCUACUCUACAACCUUGAGUGAGGAUGAAGAUAUGCUGAGAGAUGGCCAUUUGGAUCCAAAGAAGCGAGUUGCAGUUCAGCUUGUAAAGUUAGAAAAGAAAAUGCUACAUGCCUGUCUUCAGGCUACGUUUGAAUUCAUAAAUCAAUUACCAGAUCACACUGUAUCUCCCUGUCCUGCUCCUUUUGCUCCUCAAUUGAAAUAAUAGUCCUUUUCCUUGCAGAACCAGCUAUCCUUAUCACCUGUCUAAUAUGAUUAUGUAAGCCAAGCAAGUCAAUCAUAACAUUUUAGCUUUGACCAAUUGGAUUGCCUGGGGGGCGUACUAUUCAGGCUGGCUGAUCUCUGGUGCUGCUGUAAUCUAGAAGAUUUUGAGCUGUGAUUGCUUUAAUGGUGGAUUGCAUACAGGCAGAUGAUCACGAUGUAUGUAGAAGGACCAAAUUGGGACCCUUGUGCGGUUCAUCGAUGGUCCGUAAAAUCUGGUUAUUCCAAGGUUGGAAGAUCUGAUGUGAUAUUGGUUAUCGUGUGUAAGUCUAGGUCAAAUCUUUCUCAAUUCAAUUUGUUGAAGUGAUACUUUUUGGGUUCUGUUUUGUUCCUCUUACCUCGCUGCUAUGUUGGCUAACUUGUACAUAAACAAAUACUGAGGGGAAGAAAAGAGUUGCAUCUUGAAGGGUGACUACUAGCAUAGCUUUUCACAAUUCAAAUGGGUUAUUCUCCUCCGCGAAUUGCCAC